AGCCCAUGAGUCGGGCAUUUGAGCAAAAGCUUCUUGAAUCUCACCCACGUUUCAUGAAUGGGUUCCCCUUCCCAUCGCUUGAAUCCUUGAAUAUCGUCUCUGAGCUU
RNAcentral lists this small nucleolar RNA (107 nucleotides) under Solanum tuberosum (potato). Its description in RNAcentral is "Plant small nucleolar RNA R71". It matches the Rfam family "Plant small nucleolar RNA R71". From Rfam's summary of the family: R71 is a member of the C/D box family of snoRNAs containing the C (UGAUGA) and D (CUGA) box motifs. Multiple nearly identical copies of this snoRNA have been identified in Arabidopsis, and it is thought to function as a 2'-O-ribose methylation guide for 18S ribosomal RNA. The record is from Rfam by way of RNAcentral. Lineage: Eukaryota; Viridiplantae; Streptophyta; Magnoliopsida; Solanales; Solanaceae.